GUAGUACUAGGAUGGCUGACCUCC
This 24-nucleotide non-coding RNA is filed under the name Arabidopsis thaliana (thale cress). The record is from RNAcentral. Lineage: Eukaryota; Viridiplantae; Streptophyta; Magnoliopsida; Brassicales; Brassicaceae.